Molecule: microRNA precursor, 125 nt
Filed under: Phaseolus vulgaris (common bean)
Lineage: Eukaryota; Viridiplantae; Streptophyta; Magnoliopsida; Fabales; Fabaceae
Description: miR2118 stem-loop (pvu-MIR2118)
Source: miRBase by way of RNAcentral
AAGAGCUUAAGGAAGUGAUGGGAGAUGGGUGGGUUGGUAAAACAUAAGAGAAUGAAUAUUUCUCACUCUGUUUUGCCGAUUCCACCCAUUCCUAUGAUUUCCUUUGCUUCCUCUCUUUCCACUCU